This 71-nucleotide microRNA precursor is filed under the name Ovis aries (sheep). RNAcentral describes it as "miRNA (ENSOARG00000023661.1)". Lineage: Eukaryota; Metazoa; Chordata; Mammalia; Artiodactyla; Bovidae. The record is from RNAcentral.
AGGCCGGGCUCCCACUGCCCAGUCCGAGGUCUGCACUCUGUGCCUCACUGGACCCAGCAGAGCCUCCGCUU